CUACUAAUUUUUUAUAUAAAGUUUUUACAAGCUGAAUGGUUACAAAAAAGAAAUAUAAUUAAGAAUAAUAUCGGGCUUUCUUGAAUCUAUGGCUUUCAUUACUCGGUGGAAACCAAUAUAUUAUUAUUUCGCCUUGCUUUUCCCGCGCAAUAUCCACGCGUCUAUACGAACUUACUAUCCACCUAAAAGAUAUCCACUGAUUUUUAACUUAAAUCCUAUGAACUAUAACCUAUCUUAUUACUAAAUCUUUAGCCUGAAUAUUAUAUAUAUUUUUUUUUACUGACAAUUGACGAUUGAUUUUUUUUCUUUGUUUUUCUUUUAGCUCCAAAAAAUUACUGCAAAUUUCAUGGACAUCACAUAUACAAAUUCAGAAGGACAACACAACGCUUACAAUUCUUUCCGGAGGAAGCAGAUUCUGAACGCCAGGUGGACCCUCAAAUGAUGCUGGAAUAGUUAACGGGCUCUUUUGCAAUUUCUGCGUUCUGAGUGGGAUUAACAACAGGCACAGCAAAAAGCUCACUGAUGCCGCUGGCCAGUUUACAAAUAGAUUUUCCACACCCUCAAUGUCAAUUUCUGGCUUCCUCUGUCCACAACUUGCCACCGUGUUACCAAAAGGAAAGGCAAUUUCCCGCCGUUGUGCUGACCAGAACCGGACAAUUUUCGGUGCUUUCCACAGGCUUGAUACACCACCGGAAUAUUC
Molecule: long non-coding RNA, 700 nt
Organism: Musca domestica (house fly)
Lineage: Eukaryota; Metazoa; Arthropoda; Insecta; Diptera; Muscidae
Exons: 2
Source: RefSeq, a predicted model, not a curated record